Molecule: ribosomal RNA, 458 nt
Filed under: uncultured bacterium
Lineage: Bacteria
Description: partial 16S ribosomal RNA
Rfam family: Bacterial small subunit ribosomal RNA
Source: RNAcentral
GAUGAAUGCUGGCGGCGUGCUUAACACAUGCAAGUCGAGCGGAAAGGCCCUUCGGGGUACUCGAGCGGCGGACGGCUGAGUAACGCGUGGGAACAUGCCCCAAAGUGAGGAAUAACUGCCCGAAAGGGUGGCUAAUGCCGCAUAUGAUCUUCGGAUUAAAGGAUUUAUCCGCUGUGGGAGUGGCCUGCGUAUGAUUAGGUAGUUGGUGAGGUAAUGGAUCACCAAGCCGACGAUCAUUAGCUGGUCUGAGAGGAUGACCAGCCAGACUGGAACUGAGACACGGUCCAGACUCCUACGGGAGGCAGCAGUGAGGAAUAUUCCACAAUGGGCGAAAGCCUGAUGGAGCAACGCCGCGUGAAGGAUGAAGGCCCUCGGGUUGUAAACUUCUUUUAUAAGUGAAGAAUAUGACGGUAACUUAUGAAUAAGCACCGGCUAACUACGUGCCAGCCGCCGCCGUA